GCGGGUAUGGUGUAAAGGUAACACAGCAGCUUCCCAAGCUGUUGAUACGAGUUCGAUUCUCGUUACCCGCUCAA
Molecule: transfer RNA, 74 nt
Filed under: Chloroflexota bacterium
Lineage: Bacteria; Bacillati; Chloroflexota
Description: Chloroflexi bacterium tRNA-Gly
Rfam family: tRNA
About the family: Transfer RNA (tRNA) molecules are approximately 80 nucleotides in length. Their secondary structure includes four short double-helical elements and three loops (D, anti-codon, and T loops).
Source: RNAcentral